RNAcentral lists this ribosomal RNA (274 nucleotides) under uncultured bacterium. RNAcentral's name for it is "partial 16S ribosomal RNA". It matches the Rfam family "Bacterial small subunit ribosomal RNA", at positions 523 to 796 of the family's 1533-position model. The record is from RNAcentral.
AUACGGAGGGUGCAAGCGAUAUUCGGAAUCACUGGGCGUAAAGGACGCGUAGGCGGGUUGGCAAGUCAGAUGUGAAAUCCUACAGCUUAACUGUAGAACUGCAUUUGAAACUGCUAACCUAGAGUAUGGGAGGGGGAGAUGGAAUUAGUGGUGUAGGGGUAAAAUCCGUAGAUAUCACUAGGAAUACCGAAAGCGAAGGCGAUCUCCUGGAACAUAACUGACGCUAAGGCGUGAAAGCGUGGGGAGCAAACAGGAUUAGAAACCCUAGUAGUCC